Long non-coding RNA from Neofelis nebulosa (Clouded leopard), 3552 nucleotides. RefSeq lists it as uncharacterized. Lineage: Eukaryota; Metazoa; Chordata; Mammalia; Carnivora; Felidae. The record is from RefSeq and is a predicted model, not a curated record. The transcript has 3 exons.
GCCCCAGCUGGUCAGUGGUAUCCUGCAGGGCCCGUUUUCCACACACUGCUGGGAAUACCCGCAACGGUCCUGGAUCCAUGUGCCAGGAGGUGGGCCGGAGGCAGCCAUGCCCUGACCCGCUCCUUGGCCAAAAGGAAGGAGGGGUCUAGCCUUCCAACUACAGGCCAUAAUUCAUUUCUCAGGGGAAAACCACCGUCUCGCAGGGCUGCACUCUGCUUUCCCCCCUUCUUGCUGAAGGGGGCGCCAUCACAACAUCGGUACCCCAAAUCUCUCUGCAUCAUCUCAGGCCCCAUGCUUCCAGCAGUGACACAACCAACCCAUCGUCGGGGUCCCUCCCAUGCAACAACCCCGAGCAACGGAGAAGAAAGUAAACUGUUCAUCAGAGGCUCCGGGGCAAUGGCCGGAGAGAUUCCGGCGUAUCCACGGCGAAAUGUCCCCUCCCCGUCCUCCCCCAGCCCCCACAUCCCAGGGCAGCCUUAGGCCUCCCCGUCCUCCUCUCCGUGCACCCUGUAGACCUCUCAUCCCACCUUAGGCAAUCUUGUCUGUCUGUCUUUGCUUCUGUCACCCCUUGUCAUGUGCAAGCACAUGCUUUCUAGGGAUGCAAAGACCCAAACACCUCAAUUCUGGAAACUCACUGAAGGUCAAACAUUUACUCAGCCAUUAAAAUUCCCUGUGUUAGAGUCAUUUACAUUCAUACUUGCAAGGAACACGUAACGAGGCCGGUAGACAGCAUUUUAUGGCUUUUCUCCGUCAACUCAAGUAGGCAAAAAGGAAGCACGGCUGCCAGAUAGAGCUAUUCCCUCUGGUCCUUCUCGCUCCACCAAAGAAAACAAAGAACAGAAACACCUGUGCCACCUCACGGAGUUUUGGGAGCCCCAGCAUCAGUGGGGAGGGGGGCACCCCUGCACGGAACAUGUCCAUGGCCCGGAUCGUCAACGUCCUGCAUUUCUGUGAGUUUUGACUGGAGCUGAGGUCAGUGCGGGACAAGGGAAAUGUGCUUCAAGGCUGACUGCCUGGAAGGUCUUUUCCAUUUUGGAGUGUCGACCGCGGGUCAGCCAGUCUCAGGGAAUAAGCUGUAAGUGGAGGAACCCCCCACAUUGGUCAAGAAAAAAGCAAGGACAAAGACCAAGGUCACCAGUGUAUCCGGGGCUUGGAAGGAUUUGAAACAUAGCGACAGAAAAAUCCUUUGACUCAUAACAAAAUGGAAGCUGGAAGUCAGUUGCAUAAGGGUGAUUCCGACUGGAAUGCCUCUGGAAAACAGGCAGCAAGACGUGUUUGGGACCUGGGCAGGAUUUAAUCCAUAGGACACAGCCAUGAGUUCAGCAGAUUCGGGGCGACAGGAUAAUGCUGUAUUCUUCAUCGCCCAUACCUCACCACUUGGCAUGAUUAAUGUCACCCCUGGUUCCUUCUCCCUUCCACAUCCUGUCCACAGUUUGUGUCCACAGACGCUCUGCCUUGCCCUGCAUGUGUUAUAAGGUUGAGCGGGGUUCCUCUGGAGACGGCUACAUUCAAUAGGUCUUUAAAAAACAUCCUGGCACCUUUCGAACGUGAGGUGUGGUCUAAGGAAUCGAUACACCGGCUUAGGGAACAGUUGCAGAUCAUUUUCUUGAGAAUUGAAACAUUUUUCCAUAUCAUCCCUCCAGUUGUUGGUUUCAUAGAGGGUAGAAACAACUUGAGGGAUGGUGGAAGGCAGGCCGUACCCGAGGGCUGCCCAGCAAAUCUCAUUUGGGGCCUAAUUUUGGAAAGAGAAGAGGCAGAAAGAACGAGCUUCAGGUGAAAAGCAGAAAUUAAAUUGUAUUUCUUUGAUCUUACAGGGUGCCUAAUUGACUGUCUCUCAUCAGUCGGGAAAAAAAGGGAAGAAUGUAGCAGAGAACCCCAGAACGUUAGAGCCUGAUGUACGUCACCUCUGAGUGGAAGGGGAUGUGGAAACCAGGGUUGCCCAAGGUCAGGGGCUGGGUGAGGGGGAGGGAUGGGAUGGAGCCCUGACUUUCAGCCGCUCACCGGGUCAUCAUUCUGUGUGAGCAAAAGAGGAUACUAAGUCAUAAGGGACUAAGAAGACACCCAAAAGGGGAGCCCGAGGAACCCCACCUUGACCUUGCUCUUUUUUUUGUCUGAGUCACACUUCCUCUCUUAGGAGGAGCUGAACGGUUGACUUCCAGCCCACGGUGCCUGCCCUCUGUGGCAGUGACAGUGCAGAGCAGGGCCACGCGGGCGUCACCCAAGGGCCUCUCUGUUUUUCCUGAAUGCUCUCACCACCUUGACAUCCCGGCAAUGCCCUUUACUGCACUUGUGUCCUGCUGAGAGUGUGGGUGAGGCCUGGGCUGUGCUUCACCGAAAUGGUGCUCUCCUACCUGCUCUGGAAUGUAGGCCAGCACCAUCCGUGUGUCCCGGGGGCCCCGGGCAGGCGGGGGAGCAGGGGCCGGCGUGGCACCUGGGAGGUGACACUGCGUCUCCGCCUGGCACCCUCCCUCCUCCUCGCGUUGAGGGCAGGCCCCUGAUGGCUGGGACUUCUCCUCAGCUUCGGUUCAUCUGUCUGUUUCUGCUCCCAGAGGUAAAACCAGGGGGAAGGCUUGAAGCAGGGAGGAUCUCCUUAUUACUGAUAACAAACCCGAAACAGAAGUGAUCAAUACCCCACACUUCAGCAGCUCACAGGGAGACCCUGGGUAAUGCCAGACAAAACAGCAAAGAUCUAAUUACACUGACAGAAAUAACUUACAUGGUCACAUACCUUCUACCUGUCCGUCUCCAAACCAAGUGGCCCUUUCACUUCAUGCAACAGUGAAAUAAAAUAUUUUGGGGCUGACAUUUCAAUAGGUCAGAGGUCCUGAAUACGGCUGAGCCACUCCCCCAUGCUUUUCUGGGCCACAAUUUCCCCAAUAGGAAAUGAAGGUUAAUCAUUUUCGCUUUAACUCCCAUACUCCAUCAUCCCUGCUUCUCAGAGAUGUAGUGACAAGAGAUAGUUGCAGUGUUUUCCAAACUUGUCCUAUGCCAAGAAUCACCUGGAAAACAUGUCAAGAUACAAACUCCCAGGCCAAACCCUGAAUUUACGAAGUCAGCGGUUCCAGCCUGGGCCUGGGCCUGGGCAUCUAUAGUUGUAAAGAGCUUCUGACUGCGUGUUCAGGCAAGCUUGGGAAACACUGAGGUAAUCACCACGAAAUCCUUUAGUGUUUCAAGGUACCAAGCUCUGAGCACUCAAAGGUGCAUUUAUCACUGCUAUUAUUUCAGACUAGGAUUACCAGCUUUAACAAACGAAAACACAGGAUGUGCAGUUAACUGUGAAUUUCAGAUAAACAAGGAAUGAUUUUUUUUUAGUAUAAGUAUAUCCCAUGUAAUAUUUCGAGUAUACUUAUACUAAAAAAUUAUUUUGAUCUGGCAACUCUGUCAGAUGCUAUGUGUCUCAUUAUUGUGUAAUCUGGAAAAGCAUAAGAAAAAUCUAACGGUUAGCAAAAGAUAGCAUGUCAGUAAUAGAAGAGUGUCCUUUUCACAUUCCAGUCUCUAAACCUCUCAGUUUUCUACCCAGCUCUCCUGCUUGCCAGCAAGAGGGUGCCCUGG